This 85-nucleotide transfer RNA is filed under the name Bifidobacterium bifidum. Its description in RNAcentral is "tRNA-Tyr". It matches the Rfam family "tRNA". Rfam says of the family: Transfer RNA (tRNA) molecules are approximately 80 nucleotides in length. Their secondary structure includes four short double-helical elements and three loops (D, anti-codon, and T loops). The record is from RNAcentral. Lineage: Bacteria; Bacillati; Actinomycetota; Actinomycetes; Bifidobacteriales; Bifidobacteriaceae.
GGUGGGUUGGCCCAGCGGCGACGGCAGGAGCCUGUAAAUCUCCGACACUGACACAUCGCGGGUUCGAGUCCCGCACCCACCACGA